AGCCUGCCAGGCUCCGUAUCGUGCUCCAGCAGCUGCACUCAUCCAGCCACCCUCCGUCUCCCACAUGAGUGAGAAGUCUCGGUAUUGCAGAGCCCUAGAGGUUAUGGAAUAUCUCUGCAUAGAAGUGUUAUCUCAAUAUGAACUGAGAAAUUGAUGGUACCUUUCUACAAGAAAAUCUGUGGCAGAGAUUUUGAACAGGAUCAACUUAAUCGUCUGCCUUGCUCCUUUUCAUACAUAGUCCCAGGAUACGUUCUUUUCAUGUUAGAAUUUUCAAAGGAAGAACCACCUCUUGAGGCUUUGGAUGCAUCUGACUGGCUAAAACUGCUUGACUCCUGAUUGCAGCACUUCACCCUAAAAGGUUUAUCAUCAGUUGUGUUCCCCGUGCAAAGCACAUUGAUCAGGCAAUCACAAGCAUUCAGGUUAUUUCACUUCCAUCACAAAUGUUGCAAUACCUGAAUCUGUGGAUUCCUCCACCAUUUAUUUCAAUAGUUGUUUAAAAGGCCUAGUUUUAGUUUGUAGUGGACUAGCUAUUCAUACGUGAUCAAUAAUGUUGUCCCAUUUGAUUGAAACCAUACUUUCAACCACAGUAACUUUGAUUUGUACAUUGUUGAAAUAUAUCCUUAAAUUUAUGUGAUUUGAUGUAACUAUUUCAAGUGGACAGGCUACAUCAGAAGCAUAUCCCUAUGCGGGUGAUAGUAUGAAAACAUACUGCCCCUCUAGAGGGCAUUUUGCCUGAAACACAGACUUAUGACCACUCAGGUGGUCAUUAUAAUAAUUCAGAUUAGACCUAGAAGCCUUACUUCCCGUUCUUUCAAGAUAUAAAUGCAAGUCUUAACACAUCUGGGACUGGCCAUUUCUGCCAAUCACAACUGAGGGGACAACCUGCCUCUUUUCAUCAUUUGUCUGAAAGUGCUAGUUAACCCCUUGAAAGCAGCUCUGUGGAGAAGGACCUGGGAGUCC
This 960-nucleotide long non-coding RNA is filed under the name Apteryx rowi (Okarito brown kiwi). RNAcentral's name for it is "lncRNA (ENSARWG00000004702.1)". The record is from RNAcentral. Lineage: Eukaryota; Metazoa; Chordata; Aves; Apterygiformes; Apterygidae.